AUGGUGUGUGGUGUUGUCGGUUGGGGAUUCCGGUGGGUUUUUAGGAAUUCCGUGAUGACGUUGCUGAAUGAUGACGAAGAAGAUGAUGAUACGAGAUGACGGUGAUGAUGAUGAUGUGUUGGGGUGGCCGACGGCGGCACCGUCGGAGCUACAACAGAGGCGACGGUAAUGAGUAGGUCCUAUUUUGACUCGGAUCUGGUUCAAGUCGUGGACUCGAUUCCGGUGGUUCUGAUUUGGUUCAAGUUUUAAUUCAGAUCCGAUGCAAGUCAGUUAUCGGUCAACAUACGGGUUUCGGGUCAGAUUUGGUGCUCGGUCAACUCCAGUCAACAAAAGUCAGCGGUAAACGGCUCGGUCAACUGAGUCAACUCGGGUCAACCAGUCCACAUCAGGUCAAACACGGUCAACUCAGACCCGGUAAAGUUUUAAUGUCGCGAAGAGUAGUUUAGCUCGAUAUAGAUUCCAAAUUUUUAGUAGUUUACGCGACCGAGCUCGACCCGUUUCGUUUCGUUUUGGUAUUAGUUUACAUUUAUUAUACUCGACGAAAACUUUAUAUAGUUUGAUUAUAUGAUUGAAUGGUUGUUGAAAAUUGUUGAAUUUU
RNAcentral lists this long non-coding RNA (598 nucleotides) under Helianthus annuus (common sunflower). RNAcentral's name for it is "hypothetical non coding rna". The record is from RNAcentral. Lineage: Eukaryota; Viridiplantae; Streptophyta; Magnoliopsida; Asterales; Asteraceae.